RNAcentral lists this ribosomal RNA (429 nucleotides) under uncultured bacterium. RNAcentral describes it as "bacterial SSU rRNA". It matches the Rfam family "Bacterial small subunit ribosomal RNA", at positions 355 to 776 of the family's 1533-position model. The record is from RNAcentral. RNAcentral also lists the same sequence under 1 other name.
UGGGGAAUAUUGCGCAAUGGGCGAAAGCCUGACGCAGCGACGCCGCGUGAGGGAUGAAGGUUUUCGGAUCGUAAACCUCUGUCAGAAGGGAAGAAACUACGUUGUGCUAAUCAGCAGCGUACUGACGGUACCUUCAAAGGAAGCACCGGCUAACUCCGUGCCAGCAGCCGCGGUAAUACGGAGGGUGCAAGCGUUAAUCGGAAUUACUGGGCGUAAAGCGCACGUAGGCUGUAGUGUAAGUCAGGGGUGAAAUCCCACGGCUCAACCGUGGAACUGCCUUUGAUACUGCACAACUUGAAUCCGGGAGAGGGUGGCGGAAUUCCAGGUGUAGGAGUGAAAUCCGUAGAUAUCUGGAGGAACAUCAGUGGCGAAGGCGGCCACCUGGACCGGUAUUGACGCUGAGGUGCGAAAGCGUGGGGAGCAAACAGG